RNAcentral lists this ribosomal RNA (1547 nucleotides) under Klebsiella pneumoniae. Its description in RNAcentral is "bacterial SSU rRNA". It matches the Rfam family "Bacterial small subunit ribosomal RNA". The record is from RNAcentral. Lineage: Bacteria; Pseudomonadati; Pseudomonadota; Gammaproteobacteria; Enterobacterales; Enterobacteriaceae.
AAAUUGAAGAGUUUGAUCAUGGCUCAGAUUGAACGCUGGCGGCAGGCCUAACACAUGCAAGUCGAGCGGUAGCACAGAGAGCUUGCUCUCGGGUGACGAGCGGCGGACGGGUGAGUAAUGUCUGGGAAACUGCCUGAUGGAGGGGGAUAACUACUGGAAACGGUAGCUAAUACCGCAUAACGUCGCAAGACCAAAGUGGGGGACCUUCGGGCCUCAUGCCAUCAGAUGUGCCCAGAUGGGAUUAGCUAGUAGGUGGGGUAACGGCUCACCUAGGCGACGAUCCCUAGCUGGUCUGAGAGGAUGACCAGCCACACUGGAACUGAGACACGGUCCAGACUCCUACGGGAGGCAGCAGUGGGGAAUAUUGCACAAUGGGCGCAAGCCUGAUGCAGCCAUGCCGCGUGUGUGAAGAAGGCCUUCGGGUUGUAAAGCACUUUCAGCGGGGAGGAAGGCGUUAAGGUUAAUAACCUUGGCGAUUGACGUUACCCGCAGAAGAAGCACCGGCUAACUCCGUGCCAGCAGCCGCGGUAAUACGGAGGGUGCAAGCGUUAAUCGGAAUUACUGGGCGUAAAGCGCACGCAGGCGGUCUGUCAAGUCGGAUGUGAAAUCCCGGGCUCAACCUGGGAACUGCAUUCGAAACUGGCAGGCUAGAGUCUUGUAGAGGGGGUAGAAUUCCAGGUGUAGCGGUGAAAUGCGUAGAGAUCUGGAGGAAUACCGGUGGCGAAGGCGGCCCCCUGGACAAAGACUGACGCUCAGGUGCGAAAGCGUGGGGAGCAAACAGGAUUAGAUACCCUGGUAGUCCACGCCGUAAACGAUGUCGAUUUGGAGGUUGUGCCCUUGAGGCGUGGCUUCCGGAGCUAACGCGUUAAAUCGACCGCCUGGGGAGUACGGCCGCAAGGUUAAAACUCAAAUGAAUUGACGGGGCCCGCACAAGCGGUGGAGCAUGUGGUUUAAUUCGAUGCAACGCGAAGAACCUUACCUGGUCUUGACAUCCACAGAACUUUCCAGAGAUGGAUUGGUGCCUUCGGGAACUGUGAGACAGGUGCUGCAUGGCUGUCGUCAGCUCGUGUUGUGAAAUGUUGGGUUAAGUCCCGCAACGAGCGCAACCCUUAUCCUUUGUUGCCAGCGGUUCGGCCGGGAACUCAAAGGAGACUGCCAGUGAUAAACUGGAGGAAGGUGGGGAUGACGUCAAGUCAUCAUGGCCCUUACGACCAGGGCUACACACGUGCUACAAUGGCAUAUACAAAGAGAAGCGACCUCGCGAGAGCAAGCGGACCUCAUAAAGUAUGUCGUAGUCCGGAUUGGAGUCUGCAACUCGACUCCAUGAAGUCGGAAUCGCUAGUAAUCGUAGAUCAGAAUGCUACGGUGAAUACGUUCCCGGGCCUUGUACACACCGCCCGUCACACCAUGGGAGUGGGUUGCAAAAGAAGUAGGUAGCUUAACCUUCGGGAGGGCGCUUACCACUUUGUGAUUCAUGACUGGGGUGAAGUCGUAACAAGGUAACCGUAGGGGAACCUGCGGUUGGAUCACCUCCUUACCUUAAAGAA